This is a long non-coding RNA of Pezoporus occidentalis (night parrot), 2794 nucleotides long. RefSeq lists it as uncharacterized. NCBI's taxonomy places the organism in Eukaryota, Metazoa, Chordata, Aves, Psittaciformes, Psittacidae. The transcript has 3 exons. The record is from RefSeq and is a predicted model, not a curated record.
UCUUGUGUCCACACAGUCUUCAUGUUCCCGCCUGAAGCCGUUCAGCACAAGGCUUUGUGAAUGCAAAAAUGAAAUUAUUGAUUUGCUAUGGGAAGUUGUGCAUGUUAGAAACUUGCAUAAAUUCCAAGUUGUCACUGGACAAAUUCAUAGAAGAAAAAUCAAAUAUUCCUCAUUAGUUCUGUAAGUCCUGAGUACGCUAAUAGGCGGAAAUUGGGAGAGGAACUAUUACUGUGCGCAUUACUAUGUGCUUCUCUUUUUCUUAACCCUUUCCUUAGCAUCUGUUGCUGGACAUAGCAAGAGAUGAGAUUCAGUGACUGGUCUGGUACAGCCACUGUUACUGGAGGGUACUGUUGUGUUCUGAUUAUUUAGGCAGUGUCUGUACAGAAGGUAAUUGCUAUAUAAAUGCUAACUAACAUAUUGAUUGUUGCUUUUCAAAACCUCCAGAAGACCCUUGAUUGAUGCAGCUCACUGAAGGAACCACUUCUGCAUGGAAUUAAUUGAUUCAGUAACUUACUUUACUUCUCCUUCCAUCCUAACAUGAUUAGUGGGAGCACACAGCUGCACAUGAAUCGGUUCCAGGAAACCCAGCAAGGCUCUAUUAUACUUCUAAUUCUACAGCAAUAAUAUAUUUAAUAAUAUUUGUUUUCUUACCGGCUCCCCCUUUUGUCCGUCCACUCCAAUACCAGGAUUUCCCUAAUUGACAGAAAAAGUACACAGGUUGAAGAUAACCAGAAAAUGCUGAUAUUAGAAUUUAAUCAAAUAACUCAUUUGAAAAACUUAGUAACAAACAACCAUAAGAGACAUUUUGAAUAUUUGUAUAAAUUAAUCUAUUAUUUUACUAACAACGUCAGGAAAAUCAUGGCCUACCUGUUCACCUGGCAAACCAGGGUAACCCGGAAUACCCUUUAAAAGAGAAUGAAAACAAACAAGUUAGUAUGUCUGAUUUAGACAGCUUUGUCUGAAAAUCACAUACUCUUGCCAGCAGCACCUAGAGGCAGAAUUUCCUCUUGGGAUGAGGAAAUCGCAAUUUACUUCACCUGCUCACUGCUUUCAGCAGGGUUGAACUCUGGCUUCCCACUUUUCACUUCCUGACUCCCACAAGGUGCCCUUGGGGAAAGCGAAUAAGGAGAAAGCAGUAGCAGCAUUCCUCCAUGACCACAGACUGCCAGAUGAAAUGUGUCCACCCAGGCAUGGGAAGGAAAAAUAUAUGCUCCAAUUCCUGAACUUCCAAACUCAUAAGACUGCCUGAUGAAGUGUCCUUCUCCAGCAUCCUAAUAUGCCUACCUUUUCUUUCAAAUUUAAUCACUUUAAAAGUGUGCUAGUUUCCUGAUACUGGCUGCUCAAAUCCUGAAGUCAGAAUGAAACAGAAAAGGUACUUAUACCUGUAAUGACUCAAUAAAAAGAAAAGUUACAGCUGUCUGAAGCUGGAUAUAACUACAGUAGACUAGAUGCAGAUUACAGGUCAAACAACAACUGCUAGGGAACAAAUUAAACACAUCAAAAGUUGUAUUUGGUUAUUCUACAUGUGACCUGUUGUGUAAGACAACAUCUUUAUUAGAUUCAGUUUACCUUCUACAUGACUUAGGUAAGCGCUUACAAAUAAAACUAUUUCCUUUUCCAAUUUAUUGGUGAGAUAAAUGUGCAGACUCUACAAGUGAAGCUGCAGAAUAUGUAGUGUUAAAAAGAAUUAUACAGGACAACAUUAUAAAUAACAUAAAAAUGUUAGCUGUAAUAUACAGUCAAGUUGGUACUUGGUGCAACAAAUUGAUUUAAAAACAGGCAAUCUGCAUAGAGUGGUUGGAAUAGCAUUCUCAUACACAAACAAAUAUGCUUACUAUGUCUGUGUUUUUCUGGGUAGCUAAAUUAAUUUGCACUGGAAUUCUAGUCUGCAUAUCCAAGGCUACAUGCCUAUUGUGUCUCCCAUUUUUUGUAGGCUGCAAAUACUUUUCUAGGCCUGCCAGAAACCAUGCUCCUGGAGUUAAGAGGAUUUAUGCUAUAAUUUGUCCCACAUCUUAUUUUUCUUUUAUGUCAUUUGGCUAAUUAUAAAAGGGAAAACUCUUAUUUUGAAAGCCGUAAAAAGUAAGAAAAUACAGGUAAAAUUACAGUUUGAACAGAAGUAAUUUUUCUGUUUGGAGGGUUAAUAGGUUACUUUCAGAGGUGCAACAAAUAAGAGUUUCAGGGUAUUUUAUCAGGUUGUGUAUUUCAUGCAUUAUUUUUUUCUAUUUGCUACAUUUUUUAUGACAUCUUUUCACUUUGGCACCCAGUGCGCAUUUUUUGAUUCCCUAUGGCUGAAGCAACAUCUUAUUUGGCUUUGACUAAACACUUUUUAUUUUUCAUGCAAAAUGCAGUUGUUUUUACUGUUUUACUUAGAAAAUUUCAGAGAAGCUCUUAGACCAACUAAUGAGCUCUUAAUCACUCAGAACUAGAACUUGUUUUCACAAGAAGUCAAAGACCAGGGACUAGGUCUGUUCAGCAAAAUCUCUUUGGAGCUACAGUGAUUUAUAUCCCGUACUGACAUUAAUCAGUGGUUUAUCUUCAUUAGAAGAGCACUGCCAACACACUACUUAAACAAUUUUAAAAUGCUUUCCAUUUUAACAGCAAAAGUAAAUAAUAUUAAAGUGCUAAUUUUAAACGUUUUAACUGAAAUGACCUUUAUGUAUACAGAUAAAGACCCAGGCAAGAUUAAGUGUGCACAGAGCAGUCAUGAAUAGGUAUAUAUACAAAAUAGCACAUGAAACUGUAAAAGAAUGAUUUGGGAAGAGAUCUACUAAUACACUUGUGUGAUCAACCACCA